UCCCUCCGAAGGCCUUACCCAUCAGAUUUAAACACGGAUCUGAGUGGUUCUAAAAGAAGGAAAAGUUGAAUAGAAACUGACUUCAAUUACUUUGUGACCCAUGAGCUAGGUACAAAAAAGA
RNAcentral lists this small nucleolar RNA (121 nucleotides) under Echinops telfairi (small Madagascar hedgehog). RNAcentral's name for it is "Small nucleolar RNA SNORA61 (ENSETEG00000024406.1)". Lineage: Eukaryota; Metazoa; Chordata; Mammalia; Afrosoricida; Tenrecidae. The record is from RNAcentral.